This 203-nucleotide long non-coding RNA is filed under the name Elaeis guineensis (African oil palm). RNAcentral's name for it is "long non-coding RNA (EGUI_LNC067021)". Lineage: Eukaryota; Viridiplantae; Streptophyta; Magnoliopsida; Arecales; Arecaceae. The record is from RNAcentral.
CAUCUGACAUCCACUGUCGGUUGACCUUCUAUCAAAUUCUGCAUGAAACCGAACUUCAUCUAUGGAAAGCCUCUGACCGAGCUCCUACAGCAAAUGACCCUCGCCUGCAGUACUGGUGCCCAAGGCACCCAAUGGUGGAGGGCUCGCCAGCAACAUCCGAGCUCCUCUCAGAUGGGGAGCUACCUCUCUCUACCGGACACCUC